AUGAUCCAUCUCUUACCAUCUGCCCCCCUCAUGAAGAUUUUAGUUCAAUCUUCGGAGGGUUUUGCGACUCCACUUGCUUCAGGGCAACAAAACCAUGUAGCAGGGCUGCAGAGGCAAUCCUCAGAGGGUUUUGCGACUCCGCUUGCUGGAGGGCAACACCACCAUGUAGCAGGGCUGCAGAGGCAAUCCUCGGAGGGGUUUUGCGACUUCGCUUGCUGGAGGGCAACACCACCAUGUAGCAGGGCUGCAGAGGCAAUCCUCGGAGGGUUUUGCGACUUCGCUUGCUGGAGGGCAACACCACCAUGUAGCAGGGCUGCAGAGGCAAUCCUCGGAGGGUUUUGCGACUCCGCUUGCUGGAGGGCAACACCACCAUGUAGCAGGGCUGCAGAGACAAUUUUCAGAGGUUGA
RNAcentral lists this ribosomal RNA (408 nucleotides) under Triticum aestivum (bread wheat). RNAcentral's name for it is "partial small subunit ribosomal RNA". Lineage: Eukaryota; Viridiplantae; Streptophyta; Magnoliopsida; Poales; Poaceae. The record is from RNAcentral.